Oncorhynchus tshawytscha (Chinook salmon) is the source of this 2607-nucleotide long non-coding RNA. The record is from Ensembl. Lineage: Eukaryota; Metazoa; Chordata; Actinopteri; Salmoniformes; Salmonidae.
CUGGGGUUGUGUGUGUGUGUGGGUUUUGGUGUGUGUGUGUGUGUGUGUGUGUGUGUGUGUGUGUGUGUGUGUGUGUGUGUGUGUGUGUGUGUGUGUGUGUGUGUGUGUGUGUGUGUGUGUGUGUGUGUGUGCAGCAGCAGCAUUACUCUCCCUGCUAGUAGCAGUUCAUGCGAGGUCAGGCAGCUUGCUGCGCCCAGGGAAAUGAGACCGUCUUGGCUCAGACACAGCAUGUGUCCCAAAUGGCCACUUAUUCCCUAUUUAGUGCAUAGGGCCCAGGGUUCCAUUUGGAGUGCAACCUCUAGUCUUCUGAGAGCAGCUCAUAUCCACAGUGUUGCUGAGCAUGUGUCUGACAGGACACCCGGGUUCAGAUAGUAUUCAACAACUUUCAAAAUACGUUGAGCGUUUGCUUUAGCCUUCCUGGAGCGCCAGUUAUCACCUUUGAGACUAUUCUGUUGUUUCCUUUGUUCCAGGCAAACUCAAUCAAGCCCAGAUAAAAUAUUUGAAAUGACUUUGAAGAAUACCUGAACCCAGGUCUGUCUUGGAAGCCACAUAUUCUUAUUAGAGCAAGUUUUAAAUAUAACAUUUCAGGAUGCAGAAAAAAAAACACAUAAGUGAGUACAUACAUACAUUCGCACACAUGGUUUUGAAAGAAAAAUGUAUCUGGUAUAACUUUAAUAAACCGUGCUGGCUGUACUACAUGAGAGUGAUGAUGUCUGGUGUUGUUCUAGUGGGGCUGAUGGGUUGUCAGCUCUACUCAUUUUGAUCAAGUUACACUGACAUGUUGGACCUGAGUAAACAAUGUGUCGGCCAAAUACUUCUUGAGACUCGACCAACAAGACAGUAUAUCAGUGUGAAUUUAAACUCAGCAACCAGAACUAAAUCUUGAACUUGGUAUCAAAAUGGCCCCCUAUUCCCUAUAUAGUACACAACAUCUGGCCAGAGUUCCAUGAGCCCUAUAUAGUUAAUACCUAACCCUGACCUCAUCUCCUAGGUCAAUAACUACUACUGACCCUGACCCCAUCUCCUAGUUCAACAACUACGACUAACCCUGACCCCAUCUCCUAGGUCAAUAACUACUACUAACCCUGACCCUGAUCCCAUCUCCUAGGUCAAUAACUACUACUGACCCUGACCCCAUCUCCUAGGUCAAUAACUAUUCUGACCAAGACCGCAUCUCCUAGGUCAAUAACUACUACUAACCCUGACCCUGAUCCCAUCUCCUAGGUCAAUAACUACUACUGACCCUCACCCUAACCCCAUCUCCUAGGUCAAUAACUACUACUGACCCUGACCCCAUCUCCUAGGUCAUUAACUACUACUGACCCUGACCCCAUCUCCUAGGUCAAUAACUACUACUGACCAUGACCCCAUCUCCUAGGUCAUUAACUACUACUGACCCUGACCCCAUCUCCUAGGUCAAUAACUACUACUGACCCUGACCCCAUCUCCUAGGUCAAUAACUACUACUGACCCAGACCUAAUCUCCUAGGUCAAUAACUACUACUGACCCUGACCCCAUCUCCUAGGUCAAUAACUACGACUAACCCUGACCCCAUCUCCUGGGUCAAUAACUAGUACUGACCCUGACCUCACCUCCUGGGUCAAUAACUACUACUGACCCUGACCUCAUCUCCCAGGUCAACAACUACUACUGACCCUGACCUCAUCUCCUAGGUCAAUAACUACUACUGACCCUGACCCUGACCCCAUCUCCUAGGUCAAUAACUACUACUAACCCUGACCCCAUCUCAUAGUUCAAUAACUACUACUGACCCUGACCCUGACCCCAUCUCCUAGGUCAAUAACUAGUGCUGACCCUGACCUCAUCUCCUAGGGCAAUAACUACUACUGACCCUGACCCUGACCCCAUCUCCUAGGUCAAUAACUACUACUGACCCUGACCCCAUUUCCUAGGUCAAUAACUACUACUGACCCUGACCCCAUCUCCUAGGUCAAUAACUACUACUGACCCUGACCCCAUCUCCUAGGUCAAUAACUACUACUGACCCUGACCCCAUCUCCUAGGUCAAUAACUACUACUGACCCUGACCCCAUCUCCUUGGUCAAUAACUACUACUGACCCUGACCUCAUCUCCUAGGUCAAUAACUACUACUGACCCUGACCCCUUCUCCUAGGUCAAUAACUACUACUGACCCUGACCCCACCUCCUAGGUCAAUAACUACUACUGACCCUGACCUCAUCUCCUAGGUCGAUAACUACUACUGACCCUGACCCUGACCCCAUCUCCUAGGUCAAUAACUACUACUUCAAUAGGAUCUGAGAGGUGAAACCAGACACAGGGACAGUGGGUGUACCAGACGAGAAGGAACAGGAUCAGCCAGGAAGGGGUGUCAUUGUGCUUCGACUGCCCAUUAAUUAAAACAAAGUAUAUGUUUCCCAGACCUUUUUUUGGAUUCCAUAUCUUAACACCCAUGCAGUGUAAGGCUAAUUUCACCUUGGUACCCAGCCUAGCCAAAUUAUAGCCUUCGCACUGUUACAACAGCUAUGCUUACCGGGCUGGAAAAAAAGAAUCAUUAGGGACUUUCCAGCUAGGAUAGUGUGUGUGUGUGUGUUAGGGUUUUACUGUAGACCUGCAGAGCAGCUG